UCACUCUGGCUUCUCUUCAACGUAUGAUUCUUUCGCCUUUUACUAAAGAAUUCCGUGGAGAGGAGCAGUUCAAUGAGUCUUGAACAUUUUUCGAUAUCCGACUUAACUUUUAUU
Ciona savignyi (Pacific transparent sea squirt) is the source of this 114-nucleotide non-coding RNA. Lineage: Eukaryota; Metazoa; Chordata; Ascidiacea; Phlebobranchia; Cionidae. The record is from Rfam.